UUCCUCUCCCUCCCUCUCUGUGCCUCUCUCUCUCUCCCUCUCGAGCGCACUCCCUCUCUCUGCUUCUCCUUCUCCAUCUCCGGCCCUCUCCCUCCCUCCCUCUCCCUCUCCCUCUCCCUCUCCGCUCGCUCUCUCUCUCUCUCUCUCUCAAAACCCUAGUCCUCUCUCUCUAUCUCCUCCGCCCUUUGCUGCAACAUCAUGUAUCUCUCUUUCCGCUCGAUCUACCGCACAUCAAGGAGCAUUCUGCUGCAACAUUAGUUAACAACGAGAGAUACAAGUGGAACUGCAAGCAUUGGGAUUCCAUCAGUGCCUGGAAAUGCAAGCUUGCUUGGGUUUGCAAGGCCAAGAGGAUGAACUCUGACCGAAUUAGAAGCCUAGUUAGCAGAACUCCAUGGAAAGAGAGGCCCUCAUUGAUGUAGUUUUUGUUUUCCAGACUGCCCCAAACGCCAUGGAAGCUCCACCAACCAUGAUUUGGUAGUACACCCAAAUGCACUAAGAGGGAAGGAGGGAGCUUGAAAGUAAGUGAGAUGUGGAUGUUGCAGCCUAAGAAUCUAUGUUGAUAGUCUCUCUUGGAACACUUGUCUUCAUUUUUCAAUGGCUUGUUGCUUCCAAAUUUUCCAGGUGAAGUUACCCUUCAAUUAGAAGUUAUAAAAUAAUUUAUGGUUCAUAAGCCCUUGUAUUCAAAGUUGGAUAUAUUAAUGGUUCCUUUUUAUAUUGUUUUUUGUGCUCCACAUCUGAUCCAUUUUGUUGCAAGAUCUGCUAUCUCAUUCCCCUACACUUUCAAGUGUAGCUAUACAAAAUGGGAUUGGGAAGCCUGAUGCAUACAGUCAAGAAGAACAGUAUUGUAAACCAUUUGGACUACUUUGAUGUUCAGCUUUUGUGUGGAGAUGUGGGGCUCAUGCUGAGUUGUAAUGGGAGAAGUACUGUAAUGGAUUGCACAGAUCUCAACGGUAGCUUUGUCUUAUUGACGGAUCCUUCUCUUCCAUCCUAAAACUAAAUACACAAACUGAAAGCAGUCACAUCUCUGUUAAGAUUUAUUCAGGGGUCAACAACUAUAUUGUCUUACAGUUGGUUUUUCAAGCAUAUCUAGUUCUUCAUAUAAAUGCAUGUAGAAGAGAACCUAUGGAAAAUUCCUUGAAUGGGUUUUAGGAAGAAAUCUUAGUCAAAGUCGUGCAUUAUCACCCUUCAUGUGAAUAUGAAUCCAGAUUGGGAUGGACACUAUUAAUUUCACCUGAAUUUUCAAGUUUACUUUUCUCAUGUCAUUGAUUAAACUAUUCUAACUGUAUGUAAGGGUUUUGGAAAUUCAUAUUCUAGGUAUCCAUCAAAUAGGAGUGAAACAGAAUCAGCAUUCUCUCAUCUUCGGCAUCGUCAAGGUUUUCCGAAAUAUCUGCUGAUUUAUCGGAGGCAACAAUAGCGCACUGCCACUUAAUCGUCAUUUUCAAAUUUUGAUGAAAUGAGCUCAGUUAUGGACUCAUAUGAAUUGAGAUCCGUCUCGGAUCUACCUGCACCUUUUCGGCCAACUAUUAGUUUCAGGUAUUGUUCUCUAUGUUUGUGUUUGGAUACAGUAUUGAAAUUAACUGCAAUUGUUUGUUAGUAAAGUGGAAAUAACUAGAUUGUGAUUUCCUCAACAUUGGUAUUGCUUUCUUCAACAUUGGUAUGUAUUCUUUUUUAACAACUUACUUUGAAAACAUGAUCAACUUUUGCAUCAGGAGCAUGACAAGUAGCCUACAACCUUUUCUCCAUGCUUUGUAAGGUGUUUGAACAUCUCAAAUCUACCUCCAUAAAAGCAUUCCUUUUGUAGUCCUACAGUAGUCAUUCCAGAUCAGUAGCAUAUCACAAUUCACAGGUGCAACAUGCUCAAAUAGAUCUAUGGAAGAAUGGCGAGUCCAUUUUCUUGUUGCUAAAAAAAAAGGAAGUUGGGUAUUAAUAACGACAGAAGCUAGACUACAUUAUCUUAUGACAUCAAAGAAAUGCUUGAAAGAAAUCAGAAAAGCAUAGAAUAAAGCUGGCAAAUAGACAUGGGAUGCAUUAGACCUUAACUUUCAAGAGUGAUAAUGUGUAGCUAUUAAAAGUGGCCUUGGCUUUAAUACCAGCUAUUAACAUAUCAUCAAAGCCUCUCGAAGUUUGAUUCC
Long non-coding RNA from Magnolia sinica, 2132 nucleotides. RefSeq lists it as uncharacterized. NCBI's taxonomy places the organism in Eukaryota, Viridiplantae, Streptophyta, Magnoliopsida, Magnoliales, Magnoliaceae. The record is from RefSeq and is a predicted model, not a curated record. The transcript is spliced from 6 exons.